UACGUAGGGCGCAAGCGUUAUCCGGAAUUAUUGGGCGUAAAGCGCGUGUAGGCGGCUUGUUAAGUCGGGUGUGAAAUCCCUCAGCUCAACUGAGGAAGUGCGCCCGAAACUGGCGAGCUUGAGUGCCGGAGAGGAUGGCGGAAUACCCCAAGUAGAGGUGAAAUUCGUAGAUAUGGGGUGGAACACCGGUGGCGAAGGCGGCCAUCUGGACGGUAACUGACGCUGAGACGCGAAAGCGUGGGUAGCAAACAGG
RNAcentral lists this ribosomal RNA (253 nucleotides) under uncultured bacterium. RNAcentral describes it as "partial 16S ribosomal RNA". It matches the Rfam family "Bacterial small subunit ribosomal RNA", at positions 524 to 776 of the family's 1533-position model. The record is from RNAcentral.